RNAcentral lists this ribosomal RNA (253 nucleotides) under uncultured bacterium. RNAcentral's name for it is "partial 16S ribosomal RNA". It matches the Rfam family "Bacterial small subunit ribosomal RNA", at positions 524 to 776 of the family's 1533-position model. The record is from RNAcentral.
UACGUAGGGUGCGAGCGUUGUCCGGAAUUAUUGGGCGUAAAGAGCUCGUAGGCGGUUUGUCGCGUCGGAUGUGAAAGCCCGGGGCUUAACUCCGGGUCUGCAUUCGAUACGGGCAGGCUAGAGUUCGGUAGGGGAGAUCGGAAUUCCUGGUGUAGCGGUGAAAUGCGCAGAUAUCAGGAGGAACACCGGUGGCGAAGGCGGUUCUCUGGGCCUUACCUGACGCUGAGGAGCGAAAGCGUGGGGAGCGAACAGG